Molecule: long non-coding RNA, 475 nt
Organism: Oncorhynchus tshawytscha (Chinook salmon)
Lineage: Eukaryota; Metazoa; Chordata; Actinopteri; Salmoniformes; Salmonidae
Source: Ensembl
GUGGAGGCUAUAUACAGGGGGUACUGGUACAGAGUCAAUGUGGAGGCUAUAUACAGGGGGUCCUGGUACAGAGUCAAUGUGGAGGCUAUAUACAGGGAGACUGGUACAGAGUCAAUGUGGAGGCUAUAUACAGGGGGUACUGGUACAGAGUCAAUGUGGAGGCUAUAUACAGGGGUACAGAGUCAAUGUGGAGGCUAUAUACAGGAGUACUGGUACAGAGUCAAUGUGGAGGCUAUAUACAGGUGUACUGGUACAGAGUCAAUGUGGAGGCUAUAUACAGGAGUACUGGUACAGAGUCAAUGUGGAGGUUAUAUACAGGGGGUACCGGUACAGAGUCAAUGUGGAGGCUAUAUACAGGGGGUCCUGGUACAGAGUCAAUGUGGAGGCUAUAUACAGGGGGUCCUGGUACAGAGUCAAUGUGGAGGCUAUAUACAGGUGGUACCGGUACAGAGUCAAUGUGGAGGCUAUAUACAGG